UAGGUCUCAGUUCAGAUUGCAGGCUGCAACCCGCCUGCAUGAAGUCGGAAUUGCUAGUAAUCGCGAAUCAGAAUGUCGCGGUGAAUACGUUCCCGGGCCUUGUACACACCGCCCGUCACACCAUGGGAGCCGGUAAUACCCGAAGUCAGUAGUCCAACCUCGUGAGGACGCUGCCGAAGGUAGGAUUGGCGACUGGGGUGAAGUCGUAACAAGGUAGC
This 218-nucleotide ribosomal RNA is filed under the name uncultured bacterium. RNAcentral describes it as "partial 16S ribosomal RNA". It matches the Rfam family "Bacterial small subunit ribosomal RNA", at positions 1282 to 1500 of the family's 1533-position model. The record is from RNAcentral.